This 301-nucleotide ribosomal RNA is filed under the name uncultured bacterium. Its description in RNAcentral is "partial 16S ribosomal RNA". It matches the Rfam family "Bacterial small subunit ribosomal RNA", at positions 509 to 807 of the family's 1533-position model. The record is from RNAcentral.
CAGUCGCCGCGGUAAUACGAAGGGGGCUAGCGUUGUUCGGAAUUACUGGGCGUAAAGCGCACGUAGGCGGACAUUUAAGUCAGGGGUGAAAUCCCGGGGCUCAACCCCGGAACUGCCUUUGAUACUGGGUGUCUAGAGUAUGGAAGAGGUGAGUGGAAUUCCGAGUGUAGAGGUGAAAUUCGUAGAUAUUCGGAGGAACACCAGUGGCGAAGGCGGCUCACUGGUCCAUUACUGACGCUGAGGUGCGAAAGCGUGGGGAGCAAACAGGAUUAGAUACCCCUGUAGUCCCUGUCUCUUAUAC